GCGGUGGAGCAUGUUGGUUUAAUUCGAUGCAACGACGAAAACCUUACCCACCUUUGACAUGGCAGGAAUCCUAAAGAGAUUUUGGAGUGCUCGAAAGAGAACCUGCACACAGGUGCUGCAUGGCUGUCGUCAGCUCGUGUCGUGAGAUGUUGGGUUAAGUCCCGCAACGAGCGCAACCCUUGCCAUUAGUUGCUACGAAAGGGCACUCUAAUGGGACUGCCGGUGACAAACCGGAGGAAGGUGGGGAUGACGUCAAGUCCUCAUGGCCCUUAUAGGUGGGGCUACACACGUCAUACAAUGGCCGGUACAGAGGGUAGCCAACCCGCGAGGGGGAGCCAAUCCCACAAAGCCGGUCGUAGUCCGGAUCGCAGUCUGCAACUCGACUGCGUGAAGUCGGAAUCGCUAGUAAUCGUGGAUCAGCAUGUCACGGUGAAUACGUUCCCGGGUCUU
This 450-nucleotide ribosomal RNA is filed under the name uncultured Allobrachymonas sp. RNAcentral describes it as "bacterial SSU rRNA". It matches the Rfam family "Bacterial small subunit ribosomal RNA", at positions 929 to 1382 of the family's 1533-position model. Lineage: Bacteria; Pseudomonadati; Pseudomonadota; Betaproteobacteria; Burkholderiales; Comamonadaceae. The record is from RNAcentral.